This 253-nucleotide ribosomal RNA is filed under the name uncultured bacterium. Its description in RNAcentral is "partial 16S ribosomal RNA". It matches the Rfam family "Bacterial small subunit ribosomal RNA", at positions 524 to 776 of the family's 1533-position model. The record is from RNAcentral.
UACGAAGGGAGCAAGCGUUGUUCGGAUUUACUGGGCGUAAAGGGUGUGUAGGUGGUUUUGCAAGUUGGAUGUGAAAGCCCUGGGCUCAACUCAGGAAUAGCAUUCAAGACUGCAUGACUAGAGUGUGGAAGAGGUUGGUGGAAUUCCUAGUGUAGAGGUGAAAUUCGUAGAUAUUAGGAAGAACACCCGUGGCGAAGGCGGCCAACUGGUCCAUAACUGACACUGAGACACGAAAGCGUGGGGAGCAAACAGG